RNAcentral lists this unclassified non-coding RNA (319 nucleotides) under uncultured fungus. RNAcentral's name for it is "partial contains small subunit ribosomal RNA, internal transcribed spacer 1, and 5.8S ribosomal RNA". The stretch from base 1 to 73 matches the Rfam family "Eukaryotic small subunit ribosomal RNA", at positions 1759 to 1831 of the family's 1831-position model. The record is from RNAcentral. Lineage: Eukaryota; Fungi.
CCAAACUUGGUCAUUUAGAGGAAGUAAAAGUCGUAACAAGGUUUCCGUAGGUGAACCUGCGGAAGGAUCAUUAAAAGGAAGCGGUGCCUUUGUGGCCCGAUCCUCUAACCACUGCAAACCAAACGUCUGUUGCCUCGGCAGGUUGGGAUUUCGUAGAAAGUUCCCCCACCCCCCACAUUCUUGGGGGGUAGGAGCAGCCUGCCGCGGGAUAUACAAAGUACCUUUUGUUUGAUGAAUGUCUAACUAUACCUUCGCGAAUGCGAUAAAUACAACUUUCAACAAUGGAUCUCUUGGCUCCGGCAUCGAUGAAGAACGCAGC